RNAcentral lists this long non-coding RNA (510 nucleotides) under Salmo salar (Atlantic salmon). Its description in RNAcentral is "lncRNA (ENSSSAG00000085657.1, ENSSSAG00000109379.1)". The record is from RNAcentral. Lineage: Eukaryota; Metazoa; Chordata; Actinopteri; Salmoniformes; Salmonidae.
AAGAGAAUAGAAGGUACAGGAAGAGAAGAGAAGGGAAGAGAAUAGAAGGUACAGGAAGAGAAGAGAAGGGAAGAGAAUAGAAGGUACAGGAAGAGAAGAGAAGGGAAGAGAAUAGAAGGUACAGGAAGAGAAGAGAAGGGAAGAGAAGAGAAGGUACAGGAAGAGAAGAGAAGGGAAGAGAAUAGAAGGUACAGGAAGAGAAGGGAAGAGAAUAGAAGGUACAGGAAGAGAAGAGAAGGGAAGAGAAUUGAUCACAUUAUAGAACAGCCCCUCUGGACAUCCUGUUGUUUAUUUUACAACGUGAGACAGGGCUCUCUCUCUCUUUCCUCCUCUCUCUCUGUCCUCCUCUCUCUCUGCCCUCCUCUUUCUCUGUCCUCCUCUCUCUCUUUCCUCCUCCUGUCUCCCUCUCUCUCUCUGCCCUCAACUCUCUCUCUGUCCUCCUCUCUCUCUGUCCUCCUCUCUCUCUUUCCUCCUCCUGUCUCCCUCUCUCCUCUGUCCUCAACUCUCUCU